GUGAGGAAUAUUGGACAAUGGGCGCAAGCCUGAUCCAGCCAUGCCGCGUGCAGGAAGACGCAUCUAUGGUGUGUAAACUGCUUUUGUACGGGAAGAAACACUCCCUCGUGAGGGAGCUUGACGGUACCGUAAGAAUAAGGAUCGGCUAACUCCGUGCCAGCAGCCGCGGUAAUACGGAGGAUCCAAGCGUUAUCCGGAAUCAUUGGGUUUAAAGGGUCCGUAGGCGGUUUAAUAAGUCAGUGGUGAAAGCCCAUCGCUCAACGAUGGAACGGCAAUUGAUACUGUUAGACUUGAAUUACAAGGAAGUAACUAGAAUAUGUAGUGUAGCGGUGAAAUGCUUAGAUAUUACAUGGAAUACCAAUUGCGAAGGCAGGUUACUACUUGUGGAUUGACGCUGAUGGACGAAAGCGUGGGGAGCGAACAGGAUUAGAAACCCGGGUAGUCC
This 445-nucleotide ribosomal RNA is filed under the name uncultured bacterium. RNAcentral describes it as "partial 16S ribosomal RNA". It matches the Rfam family "Bacterial small subunit ribosomal RNA", at positions 354 to 796 of the family's 1533-position model. The record is from RNAcentral.